CAGAAUCAAGAAGUUGAUGGCAAUACGGACGCGUUGUUGUCGACAUGUGGUUUUGUUAUUGCACGAAAAAAACGGAUCGACAAAUCUUUCGAUUCUCGUUGAUUUACGCGAGUGUUUACUAUCUCGGCCGUGAUACAACCUGACUCUAAUUGACUUUGUGCGAACAACCGAAAAAUAUAUACAUAGAUACAAGUGAGUGUGCACGUUUACGUUAUCAUCGUGUGCCAUUAUUGAAUCACCUUUCUUAAGGAAAGUAACGUGUGAUCAGUCACGUGUGACCGGAAUCUACUCACUUGCCAGCAGACAGGAUACUCCCAGUCAAGAUCCAAACCAUCGAAAUUAUACUUUUCCAAGAAUUGAACAGCGUGACUGAUGAACUUCGUCCUGGCUGAUGGACUGUUCACGAGACGACUGUACUUGUCUCCGGCGGAAUCAUUCCAUCCGCCCAGAGCGAGCAACACCUUCAGACCUCGUUUCUUAAUUCAUAUCCAAAAAGGAAUAAACAGUCGUCAAAAUGCUACAAUACCGCAGGAUUCAUCGUCGAUUCUACGAUUCGUUGCUUACAAAGUGGAGUCUCUGGUUUUAUUUUCAUGUCGCAUAAUAAACUAGGCAUGAUC
This is a long non-coding RNA of Hylaeus anthracinus, 617 nucleotides long. RefSeq lists it as uncharacterized. The record is from RefSeq and is a predicted model, not a curated record. The transcript is spliced from 3 exons. NCBI's taxonomy places the organism in Eukaryota, Metazoa, Arthropoda, Insecta, Hymenoptera, Colletidae.